GAUGAACGCUGGCGGCGUGCCUAAUACAUGCAAGUCGAGCGAACAGACGAGGAGCUUGCUCCUCUGACGUUAGCGGCGGACGGGUGAGUAACACGUGGAUAACCUACCUAUAAGACUGGGAUAACUUCGGGAAACCGGAGCUAAUACCGGAUAAUAUAUUGAACGGCAUGGUUCAAUAGUGCAAGAGGGAUUUGCUGUCACUUAUAGAUGGUUCCGGGCCGCAUUAGCUAGUUGGUAAGGUAACGGCUUACCAAGGCAACGAUGCGUAGCCGACCUGAGAGGGUGAUCGGCCACACUGGAACUGAGACACGGUCCAGACUCCUACGGGAGGCAGCAGUAGGGAAUCUUCCGCAAUGGGCGAAAGCUUGACGGAGCAACGCCGCGUGAGUGAUGAAGGUCUUCGGAUCGUAAAACUCUGUUAUUAGGGAAGAACAAAUGUGUAAGUAACUAUGCACGUCUUGACGGUACCUAAUCAGAAAGCCACGGCUAACUACGUG
RNAcentral lists this ribosomal RNA (497 nucleotides) under uncultured bacterium. Its description in RNAcentral is "partial 16S ribosomal RNA". It matches the Rfam family "Bacterial small subunit ribosomal RNA", at positions 28 to 507 of the family's 1533-position model. The record is from RNAcentral.